This 495-nucleotide ribosomal RNA is filed under the name uncultured bacterium. RNAcentral describes it as "partial 16S ribosomal RNA". It matches the Rfam family "Bacterial small subunit ribosomal RNA", at positions 28 to 507 of the family's 1533-position model. The record is from RNAcentral.
GACGAACGCUGGCGGCGUGCCUAAUACAUGCAAGUAGAACGCUGAAGGAGGAGCUUGCUUCUCUGGAUGAGUUGCGAACGGGUGAGUAACGCGUAGGUAACCUGCCUGGUAGCGGGGGAUAACUAUUGGAAACGAUAGCUAAUACCGCAUAAGAGUAGAUGUUGCAUGACAUUUACUUAAAAGGUGCAAUUGCAUCACUACCAGAUGGACCUGCGUUGUAUUAGCUAGUUGGUGAGGUAACGGCUCACCAAGGCAACGAUACAUAGCCGACCUGAGAGGGUGAUCGGCCACACUGGGACUGAGACACGGCCCAGACUCCUACGGGAGGCAGCAGUAGGGAAUCUUCGGCAAUGGACGGAAGUCUGGCCGAGCAACGCCGCGUGAGUGAAGAAGGUUUUCGGAUCGUAAAGCUCUGUUGUAAGAGAAGAACGAGUGUGAGAGUGGAAAGUUCACACUGUGACGGUAUCUUACCAGAAAGGGACGGCUAACUACGUG